GCUGCAGUCGAGAAUCUUUCGCAAUGGGCGCAAGCCUGACGAAGCGACGCCGUGUGGAUGAUGACAGCUUUCGGGUUGUAAAGUCCUUUCGCUUGGGAGCAAGAGAAAUUAGUUAAUAACUAAUAAUUUGAGAGUACCAGG
This 141-nucleotide ribosomal RNA is filed under the name uncultured Chlamydiales bacterium. RNAcentral describes it as "partial 16S ribosomal RNA". It matches the Rfam family "Bacterial small subunit ribosomal RNA", at positions 348 to 482 of the family's 1533-position model. The record is from RNAcentral. Lineage: Bacteria; Pseudomonadati; Chlamydiota; Chlamydiia; Chlamydiales.